This 1252-nucleotide long non-coding RNA is filed under the name Nicotiana tabacum (common tobacco). RNAcentral describes it as "long non-coding RNA (NTAB_LNC008139)". The record is from RNAcentral. Lineage: Eukaryota; Viridiplantae; Streptophyta; Magnoliopsida; Solanales; Solanaceae.
CACGCCCCAAACCUGGGCCUGGACGUAAUACGACACCUGAUGCCUAAGUACAUGUGACCGAGCAAACCAAUUGGCUGGCUGAAUCAAUAUGUGAUAUCAUAACAUACUGAAUGCAGAAGAUAAACUAGCACAUGCUGAUAUACUGAAAGUCUGAAUAAUAUAAAUCAAAAAAGCGAAAACACUAAUAUAAUUCUGAAACAUAUCUGUAGAAAACAUUGCUUAAGAUGAAAAACCUGCCACUCUGUCUAACUUCUCUAGUCUAUGAAGCCUUUAAUGAAGUACGAAAAAUACUAGUUGUCUGAAAAUAGUAAAGACUGUAAGGUAAUGCUAAUGCCCUGAACGAACUGGGGAUCACCAAAUAGCUGGUAAGAGAAUCCUAGCGCUCUGAAUCGUCAAUCUGUAAAUCAUUACCUGCAUCAUGAAAUGCAGGUCCCGGGCAAAAGGGACAUCAGUACAUUUAAAUUGCACUGAUAUGUAAAGAAACUAAAAGAAAGAACUGUAAAUGCUGAAACUGAAAUUAAACUGAUAAUUGAUAACUGGGAAUAGGUAUUAAUAAUUGAUAGCUGAACUGAUAAAGAAACUGAUAACUGAAUAAGGAAGUAAGGAUAUGAAUACUCCCUCUUCUGAAUGAUGAACACCCUAUUUAUCUGAAUAAAUAAACUGUAGCCUCAGGCCCAAUAUAUGUGUGCACAAACUGCGGCCUCAAGCCCAAAUAUACGUAUACAUAACUGCGACCUCAAGCCCAAAGAUGCAUAAAGUAUAAACUGCAGCCUCAAGCCCAAAUACAGGUGUUCAACAUUCAGGGAUUUAAAAAUAAGAACUGAGAAUCGUACUGUAAUACAUGAUACUGAAAUACUAAACCAUACUAUGUUCAUUAAGUAUAUAACCUGGCUCUGAUACCAACUCAGAACGAGUGUAGUACCGGUGUUGGAGAACGAUAAAUAUCAAGAGGAAGAAUGACGAUUAGUUCUACAAGAGAAUUAUUUUUAAACCAGCAGUCUCAAAAUUGCACUAAGAAAGUAUACCAGAUUAUUGGCUAUAAGGGCUCUCUUAGCAACCUGCCAUAUCAAAAACCGUUUUCUUAGAUCAAACUAAUCAGCUUCUGGUAAUCACUCAUGGAAAGUAAUUACGUCCUUUGUGAUUUCUAAUAUUCUACACUCUGUAAGGAUCAACCAUCAUUUUUAGAGAAGAGAGAACAAGAGAAAGUUUAGAAAGCAAACAUUUUAUUGCACACUUAAUAUUUUUUUCCAGG